RNAcentral lists this ribosomal RNA (468 nucleotides) under uncultured bacterium. RNAcentral describes it as "partial 16S ribosomal RNA". It matches the Rfam family "Bacterial small subunit ribosomal RNA", at positions 28 to 507 of the family's 1533-position model. The record is from RNAcentral.
GACGAACGCUGGCGGCGUGCUUAACACAUGCAAGUCGAACGGAAAGGCCCUGCUUUUGUGGGGUGCUCGAGUGGCGAACGGGUGAGUAACACGUGAGUAACCUGCCCUUGACUUUGGGAUAACUUCAGGAAACUGGGGCUAAUACCGGAUAGGAGCUCCUGCUGCAUGGUGGGGGUUGGAAAGUUUCGGCGGUUGGGGAUGGACUCGCGGCUUAUCAGCUUGUUGGUGGGGUAGUGGCUUACCAAGGCUUUGACGGGUAGCCGGCCUGAGAGGGUGACCGGCCACAUUGGGACUGCGAUACAGCCCAGACUCCUACGGGAGGCAGCAGUGGGGAAUAUUGCACAAUGGGCGGAAGCCUGAUGCAGCAACGCCGCGUGCGGGAUGACGGCCUUCGGGUUGUAAACCGCUUUCGCCUGUGACGAAGCGUGAGUGACGGUAAUGGGUAAAGAAGCACCGGCUAACUACGUG